UACAGAGGUCAUCAGCGUUGUUCGGAUUUAUUGGGCGUAAAGAGCUCGUAGGCGGCUCGUUGCGUCGGCUGUGAAAAACCCGCAGCUCAACCUGUGGGCUUGCAGCUGAUACGGGCGGGCUGGGAUUCGGUAGGGGAGACGUGGAAUUCCUGGUGAGCGGUGAAAUGCGACAGAGUAUCAGGAGGAACACCGGUGGCGAAGGCGGGUCUC
RNAcentral lists this ribosomal RNA (210 nucleotides) under uncultured bacterium. RNAcentral describes it as "partial 16S ribosomal RNA". It matches the Rfam family "Bacterial small subunit ribosomal RNA", at positions 524 to 729 of the family's 1533-position model. The record is from RNAcentral.